CAUCUUCCAAAAACAUGUAUGUAUGAAACCACAAGUACAUACAUUUUACAUGACAAAAUAAAAUCAUUAUUGUUGGUUUGGGAUGUACCAGGAGUUCACAUGUUGCUCAUAGUCAAUAUGUAGGACUGCUUGAUCUUGGGAAUAUUACUAGUAGCUAUUGAUAUUGAGCUUCCAGAUGUUGUUAUCACACUAUACAUGGGACUUCCACCAAGUUACAACAUCAUGGAUAGUAGCCAAAAGAGCUUGCACAGACCAAAACUCCAAAACAAUCUGUAGGUUACACUGGCCAUCACAUUGACCAACCUUAGCUGCCCAUCAUAUUUGAGAGACUUGGAGGAUGUUAUGUUUGUUUGUAGGAUGCAUCUAGGCUGAGAAAUAUGGCAUGUUUUAGU
Molecule: long non-coding RNA, 392 nt
Filed under: Oryza brachyantha (malo sina)
Lineage: Eukaryota; Viridiplantae; Streptophyta; Magnoliopsida; Poales; Poaceae
Description: long non-coding RNA (OBRA_LNC000107)
Source: RNAcentral